CCUACGGGUGGCAGCAGUGGGGAAUAUUGCACAAUGGGGGAAACUCUGAUGCAGCAACGCCGCGUGCGUGAAGACGUAUUUCGGUAUGUAAAGCUCUAUCAGCAGGGAGGAAGAUGACGGUACGUGUUUCAGAAGCCCCGGCUAACUACGUGCCAGCAGCCGCGGUAAUACGUAGGGGGCAGGCGUUAUCCGGAUUUACUGGGUGUAAAGGGAGCGCAGACGGCAGUGCAAGUCUGGAGUGAAAGCCCGGGGCUCAACCCCGGAACUGCAGUGGAAACUGGGCGGCUUGAGUACUGGCGGGGCAGGCGGAAUUCCUAGUGUAGCGGUGAAAUGCGUAGAUAUUAGGAGGAACACCAGUGGCGAAGGCGGCCUGCUGGACAGUAACUGACGUUGAGGCUCGAAAGCGUGGGGAGCGAACAGGAUUAGAUACCCGGGUAGUC
Molecule: ribosomal RNA, 440 nt
Filed under: uncultured bacterium
Lineage: Bacteria
Description: partial 16S ribosomal RNA
Rfam family: Bacterial small subunit ribosomal RNA
Source: RNAcentral